CCUACGGGGGGCUGCAGUGGGGAAUUGUUCGCAAUGGGCGCAAGCCUGACGACGCAACGCCGCGUGGAGGAUGAAGGUCUUCGGAUCGUAAACUCCUGUUGCCCGGGACGAAAAGCUUCGACCUAACACGUCGAGGUCUGACGGUACCGGGUGAGGAAGCCCCGGCUAACUCUGUGCCAGCAGCCGCGGUAAUACAGAGGGGGCAAGCGUUGUUCGGAAUUACUGGGCGUAAAGGGCGCGUAGGCGGCCUGUUAAGUCGAACGUGAAAUCCCCGAGCUCAACUCGGGAACUGCGUCCGAUACUGGCAGGCUUGAAUCCGGGAGAGGGAUGUGGAAUUCCAGGUGUAGCGGUGAAAUGCGUAGAUAUCUGGAGGAACACCGGUGGCGAAGGCGGCAUCCUGGACCGGUAUUGACGCUGAGGCGCGAAAGCCAGGGGAGCAAACGGGAUUAGAUACCCCAGUAGUC
RNAcentral lists this ribosomal RNA (464 nucleotides) under uncultured bacterium. RNAcentral describes it as "bacterial SSU rRNA". It matches the Rfam family "Bacterial small subunit ribosomal RNA", at positions 338 to 795 of the family's 1533-position model. The record is from RNAcentral.